AGCGAACGCUGGCGGCAGGCUUAACACAUGCAAGUCGAGCGGGCCCUUCGGGGUCAGCGGCAGACGGGUGAGUAACGCGUGGGAACGUGCCCUUCGGUUCGGAAUAACUCAGGGAAACUUGAGCUAAUACCGGAUACGCCCUUAUGGGGAAAGGCUUGCUGCCGAAGGAUCGGCCCGCGUCUGAUUAGCUAGUUGGUGAGGUUAUGGCUCACCAAGGCGACGAUCAGUAGCUGGUCUGAGAGGAUGAUCAGCCACACUGGGACUGAGACACGGCCCAGACUCCUACGGGAGGCAGCAGUGGGGAAUAUUGGAAAAUGGGGGCAACGCUGAUCCAGCCAUGACGCGUGAGUGAUGACGGCAUUAGGGUUGUAAAGCUCUUUUCUCCGGGACGAUAAUGACGGUACCGGAGGAAUAAGCCCCGGCUAACUUCGUG
RNAcentral lists this ribosomal RNA (433 nucleotides) under uncultured bacterium. RNAcentral describes it as "partial 16S ribosomal RNA". It matches the Rfam family "Bacterial small subunit ribosomal RNA", at positions 29 to 507 of the family's 1533-position model. The record is from RNAcentral.